UGAGGAAUAUUGGGCAAUGCCCGCAAGUCUGAACCAGCCACGCCGCGUGGAGGAUUAAGGCCCUCUGGGUUGUAAACUCCUUUUAUCUGGGAAGAAAUGUACUUUUUCUUGAGUACUUGACGGUACCAGAGGAAUAAGCACCGGCUAACUCCGUGCCAGCAGCCGCGGUAAUACGGAGGGUGCAAGCGUUAUCCGGAUUCACUGGGUUUAAAGGGUGCGUAGGUGGGCAGGUAAGUCAGUGGUGAAAUCUCCGGGCUUAACCCGGAAACUGCCGUUGAUACUAUUUGUCUUGAAUAUUGUGGAGGUAAGCGGAAUAUGUCAUGUAGCGGUGAAAUGCUUAGAUAUGACAUAGAACACCAAUUGCGAAGGCAGCUUACUACACAAUCAUUGACGCUGAGGCACGAAAGCGUGGGGAUCAAACA
This 422-nucleotide ribosomal RNA is filed under the name uncultured bacterium. RNAcentral's name for it is "bacterial SSU rRNA". It matches the Rfam family "Bacterial small subunit ribosomal RNA", at positions 355 to 774 of the family's 1533-position model. The record is from RNAcentral.